UCUAUAAUAGUUUAAAAAAAAACAUUAAUUUUGUAAAUUAAAAAUAUAAAUUAUUUUUUUAUAGAA
This 66-nucleotide transfer RNA is filed under the name Amblyjoppa sp. ZJUH_2016002. RNAcentral's name for it is "tRNA-Thr". Lineage: Eukaryota; Metazoa; Arthropoda; Insecta; Hymenoptera; Ichneumonidae. The record is from RNAcentral.